RNAcentral lists this ribosomal RNA (253 nucleotides) under uncultured bacterium. Its description in RNAcentral is "partial 16S ribosomal RNA". It matches the Rfam family "Bacterial small subunit ribosomal RNA", at positions 524 to 776 of the family's 1533-position model. The record is from RNAcentral.
UACGGAGGGUGCGAGCGUUGUCCGGAAUUACUGGGCGUAAAGCGCACGUAGGCGGAUCAGUCAGUCAGGGGUGAAAUCCCGGGGCUCAACCCCGGAACUGCCUUUGAUACUGCUGGUCUUGAGGUCGAGAGAGGUGAGUGGAAUUCCGAGUGUAGAGGUGAAAUUCGUAGAUAUUCGGAGGAACACCAGUGGCGAAGGCGGCUCACUGGCUCGAUACUGACGCUGAGGUGCGAAAGCGUGGGGAGCAAACAGG